RNAcentral lists this ribosomal RNA (490 nucleotides) under uncultured bacterium. RNAcentral's name for it is "partial 16S ribosomal RNA". It matches the Rfam family "Bacterial small subunit ribosomal RNA", at positions 30 to 507 of the family's 1533-position model. The record is from RNAcentral.
AUUGAACGCUGGCGGCAGGCCUAACACAUGCAAGUCGAACGGUAACAGGAAGAAGCUUGCUUCUUUGCUGACGAGUGGCGGACGGGUGAGUAAUGUCUGGGAAACUGCCUGAUGGAGGGGGAUAACUACUGGAAACGGUAGCUAAUACCGCAUAACGUCGCAAGACCAAAGAGGGGGACCUUCGGGCCCCUUGCCAUCGGAUGUGCCCAGAUGGGAUUAGCUAGUAGGUGGGGUAACGGCUCACCUAGGCGACGAUCCCUAGCUGGUCUGAGAGGAUGACCAGCCACACUGGAACUGAGACACGGUCCAGACUCCUACGGGAGGCAGCAGUGGGGAAUAUUGCACAAUGGGCGCAAGCCUGAUGCAGCCAUGCCGCGUGUAUGAAGAAGGCCUUCGGGUUGUAAAGUACUUUCAGCGGGGAGGAAGGGAGUAAAGUUAAUACCUUUGCUCAUUGACGUUACCCGCAGAAGAAGCACCGGCUAACUCCGUG